AGCCUCAUCUUAAAAUGAAAGUGAAUGCCUUGUUGAACCACAAGCAGCUAAAUAAGAGCUUGGACAUGUAAGCAUCUUGUUAUUUCCUUUAGUCUCAUCUUUCUAUGACUGGGAUAAAAGCUACAAUCUGAAAAUAGUCACAUGCCUCUGGGGUUAACUGCUAGGAGUACUGUGAGUUUGUCUUGGUUAUAGAAACCUUCCCCAUCUGCAGCCUGUGCACCAAACCUGUUUAUUCAUCCAUAAGUUCACAGAGUGCAAAGAGGGUCUGUCACACGCCGAAGUUCAAGUAUCUGGUCUCUGCCAGCUCCUCUGGAAGGACCUGAGCUGCUCCUUGCUCUGCAAUCUUGUGUAUGGGGCUUCACAUUCAUGGAGGUUUAGGACUUUGUGCCUUUGACUCUCCCAUUCUUAAAACUAUUACAAAUUAAAUUAGUAGCCUGGAUGAACUGAUCUGUCCAUGAAACAGAUGCAGAGUUUAUGAACUUUAUGUAGAGAAGCUUCCAGGGAUCUUUAAAAUGGGCCAUGUCCUGUGCUGCAUGUGAGGGCUGUGGGGUUUGGUGCAGCCCCUGACUAACCUAGGCAGUCUCACUGAACAAUUUAACAGCUGCGUUGACCAUGAAGCUUUAACACAUCCUCAUCCAAGGUCUUCUGGGAGCACUCUAAGCAUGCAUUAAACACUGUGGUUCUCAUCCUACACUCCAGACAAGGCAAAGGCUCAGGCAGCAUUGGGAAGGGAUUUCUCACAACUGGUGCGUUUACAGUCGGAUUUCUUAACUGGAAUGGGGACUGCAAGAGUUUUUAAAAACUAAAAACCCAAACCCUGCAAUUUCAUGCUGCUUCACUUCUGUGGUUUUUGUUUUGUCUCUUUCUUAAGUAUAGUGUAUGGACAGCGCCAUGGGUUAGGGAACACUUCAGCUUCAUCUUCAGAGACUUUUCAUAUGUAGCCUUCUGCUGAAGUCAAUGGGUGUGGAGGUAAGCAGUGCUGAGUGCUUUCUGACAACAUCACUGCCACCCACUCUGCAGCCUGAUGCACACAGCACUCCUUGUAUUUGAGCAUUGUUUUUCUCCAAAAAAGUUGCAUGUGGUUGCACAAUAAAGACACGGCUUAUUUGUGUAAUGCAAAUCUGUUCCUGCUUGUUGGUACAAAGUGCAAGCAGCGAGCAUCAAAGUGCUCGAGACUUCACAGAUCCUGCAUGAACACUUGCUACUGAACUUCAGUGACAUCCUGCAUUAUGUCAGAAUAAAAGAUGACAUCACAGUUGGUCUGUGAGUGAAUGGGAUUUGAACUCAGGGUUGAAUGUUGCUGCCUGGAAGGUUGCUCAUGCUCAACACCCUUUGCUCUGCUACUAUUUGUUUGUUUAUGUAUUUUUACAGCUGCUGAGUUUAGUUUCUCUAAGGUUAAUUAUUUUAUCAGGAGCCAGUCAGAAUCGGAGUUUCCUGAUUUUUUUUUCCUUGUCUUUCUGUUGAUUUCCUGUUUUGUUGAAACACAACUUUCUCUGUUGAAACAACUCAGUUUCCGUCUAGUGACUUGAAGUGUCUGAAAUGGCCUGGUAUUCUCACAGAGAUAUUGACAGUGGGGUCUGGUGACUAAAUUGUUGUGAUAAAACAAAAAUUCAUUGGUUGAUGCUGUUGAAAUCCGCUGACUUUUCUAUGCUGCUAAUAGAAGGCUUUAAAAUAUCCAGCUGCAGACUGAUCCUCUCCAAGCAUGUGAUGCUGACAUCAGUCCUAGAAGUGAGGCGUUGAACUGCCUCCAAAAAUGAGCUCAUCGGGUAAUAUUCAAUGCACUGGUUUAGCAAAAUAUUAAUUAAUUUGAUUACGUGGUCACCUGUACAUACUGUUUGAAAGAUGGCAGUUCAUUCCAAUUUUAGUUGCUACUGUUCAAGAUACCAGUGUUACAAAGAUCCUGUUGAUAGGACACUGUGCUCCCACUGUAUGCUGGGACCUGGGCUUGGCAGAGCCUGUCUCUAAUUGCCACUAACUUGCUCUAAGACUUGCCAGUUUCUUGACUUUUCUUCUCUCUGCAUCCCUCCCAGUAAGCUGCAGGGAAUAAGACAAGAUUCUGUUGUCAAGCCAUCUGACUAAAGCCACUCAUAAAACUUGCUCAAUUUUCUUGUGGCUCCCUUGACUUUUUUAAAUGACUGUGUAAAAACACAGCCAUGUGCUUUCCCAGAAGUUUGAGUAAUGAUCCAUCUUCAUUUUGACCUGCCUGAUACCAAAGCUGAGUGACCAUAAUGAGAUUAAACCCUUGCAGAACUGCCCUGGAGGCUUCCUCCCCUCGUGUAGCUUGAGGUCAGCAGUAACUGCAAACUUCCUCUUAUAGCCCACACAGAGUGUGGAUUCGAGCAACCUUGGACUGAUGGUGACCCCAAAUGCUUGGCUAUUAUUUUAUAAACUUGAAGAAAUUUCGUAUUUACCGUUAAUUACAGUAAUCGCACAUUCUAGAUGCAACUGUGAGAGCACAUUAACAUGUGUCUGAUUACUUAUUUAUUUGAAACAUGGGCAUAAGAGAAACAGUUUGUUAGAAGGGUUUGUGUGCAUUUGUGCAGAAAGAGUUUUGUCUUCCUCCCCUCACCCAGUAUUUUCCUCAUGUUAACUGCACAUUGCAGGAUUGUUAGUUUUGGAUUCUGUUUCCCCCUGAAUACAAGUCUUUAUGGAGCUGCCCACUGCUCUUCUUUCAAGAAACGCUGCUGCUAACUUAAGACAGAGGAAGAUGCUAUGUGUAACAGGGCUGUAACGAUGCCUGAAUUGCAAACUUGUGCAACUAAAGAAUGGUAUUGUGCAAAACAGAAUGGAAAAACUGCUGCUGAUGAGCACAGAGAGUUGAGGCAACAAGAAGCCCUACUUAGAGAGCAAGAGAAGCUGGGUUUGAAGAACAAGUAGUAGUAAACAAGAUAGGAAGGCUCUGUUCCUGCAAGAGUAAAUGAUCCCUUAGAGCAGCCAAGGAGGCUGUUUGAUGUGAACUCUGUGCAAAGUUCAGUGGAGAGUGUGCUCCAAUGUCCUGCGCGAUGCUGCUUUUUUCUCCUCCUUGUUUACAAGAAGCUGGUAUGAUUUCAGAAUAAACUUCUGAAGCAUCCUUGCUGGGAGAAUUUGGAUGACAAAAUAUUUCUUAGCAUGUAGAAAGUUAUUGCUACGGCAGUAACUGUUGAAGCUGGCUGAGUGGCUGCUGCCUGGUUUUGGUUAAUGUCAGGAAUUGUGCUGGUGGGAAACAAGUCCUGGGGUGGGACUGUGCAGUCUCCGUUGUGCCUCAGCACAGUUCUCAGCAUACUUCAGAUGCUGCCUCUGCAAAACGAUGAAAUAAACUUCCGCUUUUCCCAGUAAAAUGCCUCUAGUACACACAUCACGGAGCUGUUUUUGUCCAUCUUUAUUUAACAAUAACAAGGGUUGUGCAGAAAACAUGCAGGGCGUGGAAAUGGAGAGCUGAGCCCCAUCUAUCCUCUGCUGCUGAAGGGUGGGAGGAGGUAGGAAAGCAUGGAAAAGAGGAAAACAGCUUUGCCUGUGCCUGUUUUGAUACUGAAGAACUCUUCCCAGGGAUCUGAGAAGGGGGUGGGGAGAGAACCAGAUGCUCUUAGGAAGUUCAUACCAUUGUUAAUAAUGUAAUUCACAGAUGGUGGUGAAGGCCUUGAAGAGGCUUUCAUGCAGUACUUACGCUCUGUAACAGAUCAUCACAUACGGGCUCACAAAUAGAGAUGACUUAAUCCCAAGGAUGAGUCUACAGUGAUCUGUUUGAUGAUAGGCCUGCAGAUCACUGCAACCUUUUUAAACAGUUAAGAGCCUCAGGAUCCCUGGAUGUUGAGCACUACAAUUGGACCAAUCUCUAAUUAAAUUGUCAGGAUAAAAUAUUCAUAUAGCUCUGAGACUUUUCCAAUGACAAUAGCGCUUGAAAUUAGAAAACAAGUUCCUUUGUCCUGGUACAGAAAUCAAUACAGGUAAAGCAUGAACAUCAGUUUGUACAAUGACAUCUUGUUAAGAGGCAGUUUUGCUUUUAUUUCCAUUUGUCUGCUCGGAGCUGGAAGCAGAGCUUGUCUGUGUUCUGAAUAGCUGUCAGUACUUUGUGACAGCUAAGAAGGUUUGUGCCUUGCAUGUCCUCCUGUUGAAAAAGAAGUCACUCAUACCUAUAAGCUUUACAGCAAAUGAACAGGCUGCUUGUUUUCAGACAUGUAGAAUCAGAAAAGAUUUAGCUCAAGUGCUUGCAAUAAAAUUCAAUAUUUGUAUGUUUGUGAGAGGUUUAUUGAUAAGAUCUUCCCUGGCUACUGGUCAGCUUUUUUAUUUGGUGUAAGCUGUGUAACUACAAGUGUUUAUCAAGGACUUGUAAGCAAUACUGGCUUGCAUGUGUAGCACUAGAACAUAAGAACUGAUCUUGGUUUUGUUUGUUGCUGUCUUUUCAAGUGAGACAUUCCCAUUGUGGGUUUUAUUAUUAUUAUUAUUAACUUCAAGUUUAAAUUGAAUUUAGUAAAUUGACUUCUUGUGAUGUUUGUCAUGUGAUGGUUCAUGAGCUCUGAAGAAUGUGCUCCUGUGACUUCAGCCAUGUAUUUGCCUGUACCAAUGUAGGCUGUAUCAUGUGUUCUUUCUUGUUGGUCUUGCAUUUUGAGCUAAGUAGUGGAGGGGGUUGGGAGAAAAAAAAAAGGGGGGGGGAACUAAUUCAGGGCUAAGCUACCAGAAAUUUUCAGACUGCUUAAUUUGUGACCUUGUUCCCUAGUUAAAUACAACCCAGGAUUUUCUGCCUCUUCCAGAGUUUCACAGAAGUGUUUUCUGCAUUAGAAGCUGAGUUUUUCUCUUACUAUCCUUGUUAAAAAACAGGAAAACACAAUGCUUUGGUAAAAGAAAUACCUUGACAUCUUGGGGAAAGAGAUUUUUUUAAUCCUUGGUGGGUGGUUGUGCUUUAACUGAGAAAGUUAGAAACUGUCUUUCUGAUCCACAUUUUUUGCAUAUAUCAACUGUAAAGCAAUAUCUUUAUUACUGCAGUAAAAUGAACAAAGUUGAAAUGACUGCAUCUGUGCCAAGAAUUUUUGUUUUCACCACAAUGGCCGAAGUUUUGGAGCACUAAAAGUGCUGUCAGUGAGUCUCCAGCUCCUUGUCUCACUGCCUGCCUGUGCUGUCUAUGUCCAGUGGAAGCAGAGACCCCUCCCAGGACUGAGGACUCACAAGCUCAUACAGUAUUUCCACUUGGCUCAGAAGAUGUGGAUUUGUGAGCUGAGGGAAUCCUCAUCUGGCUGGUCACCCAAGCCUUCUUCAAGAGUAUUAGAAGGAUCUACAGCCUAAGUUCAUCAGAGGGCUGACCUGCUCUGGUUUUAAUGAGAUUUAUUAUACCUGUACCUGUUGGAUUCUGUGGUUUUGAUCUUCAAAAUUAUCUGAAUAAACCUGUUAGUGAAAGCAAAA
Molecule: long non-coding RNA, 5373 nt
Organism: Cyanistes caeruleus (blue tit)
Lineage: Eukaryota; Metazoa; Chordata; Aves; Passeriformes; Paridae
Source: RefSeq, a predicted model, not a curated record